Salmo salar (Atlantic salmon) is the source of this 55-nucleotide non-coding RNA. The record is from Rfam. Lineage: Eukaryota; Metazoa; Chordata; Actinopteri; Salmoniformes; Salmonidae.
UGCGUUUACUACUGUAAGUUGCUCUGGAUAAGAGCGUCUGCUAAAAUGUCUCAAA